Molecule: ribosomal RNA, 273 nt
Filed under: uncultured bacterium
Lineage: Bacteria
Description: partial 16S ribosomal RNA
Rfam family: Bacterial small subunit ribosomal RNA
Source: RNAcentral
CACGUGUUACAAUGGCAGGUACAGAGGGGUGCUACCGGGUGACCGGAUGCCGAUCUCGAAAACCUGUCCCAGUUCGGACUGGAGUCUGCAACCCGACUCCACGAAGUUGGAUUCGCUAGUAAUCGCGCAUCAGCCAUGGCGCGGUGAAUACGUUCCCGGGCCUUGUACACACCGCCCGUCAAGCCAUGGGAGCCGGGGGCGCCUGAAGUCCGGGACCGCGAGGACCGGCCUAAGGCGAAACUGGUGACUGGGGCUAAGUCGUAACAAGGUAGC